RNAcentral lists this ribosomal RNA (1349 nucleotides) under metagenome. RNAcentral's name for it is "bacterial LSU rRNA". It matches the Rfam family "Bacterial large subunit ribosomal RNA", at positions 1564 to 2925 of the family's 2925-position model. The record is from RNAcentral.
UGAGUACGAGCUGCCACGGCAGCGAAGUGGGUGACGUCAAGCUUCCAAGAAAAGCCCUAUACCCGUUAAGGCAUGAUGGCCUGUACCCGAAACCGACACAGGUGGGGUGGUAGAGAAUACCGAGGGGCGCGAGAUAACUCUCUCUAGGGAACUCGGCAAAAUGGCCCCGUAACUUCGGGAGAAGGGGUGCCACCGCAAGGUGGUCGCAGUGAAGAGGCCCAGGCGACUGUUUACCAAAAACACAGGUCUCCGCUAAGUCGCAAGACGAUGUAUGGGGGCUGACGCCUGCCCAGUGCCGGAAGGUUAAGGAAGCUGGUCAGCGUAAGCGAAGCUAGCGACUGAAGCCCCGGUGAACGGCGGCCGUAACAAUAACGGUCCUAAGGUAGCGAAAUUCCUUGUCGGGUAAGUUCCGACCCGCACGAAAGGCGUAACGAUCUGGGCGCUGUCUCGGAGAGAGGCUCGGCGAAAUAGAAUUGUCUGUGAAGAUGCGGACUACGUGCACCCGGACAGAAAGACCCUAUGAAGCUUUACUGUAGCUUGGUAUUGUGCUCGGGCUCGGAAUGCGCAGGAUAGGUGGGAGGCUAUGAACCAUUGCUUGUGGGUGAUGGUGAGCCACUGGUGAGAUACCACUCUUUCCGAGCUAGAUUUCUAACAGCCACCCGUUAUCCGGGGGCUGGACAGUAUCAGGUGGGCAGUUUGACUGGGGCGGUCGCCUCCUAAAAGGUAACGGAGGCGCGCAAAGGUUUGCUCAGGCUGGUUGGAAAUCAGCCGACGAGUGUAAAAGCAGAAGCAUGCUUGACUGUGAGACCUACAAGUCGAACAGGGAGGAAACUCGGCUUUAGUGAUCCGACGGUUCUGCGUGGAAGGGCCGUCGCUCAACGGAUAAAAGUUACUCUAGGAUAACAGGCUGAUCUCCCCCAAGAGUUCACAUCGACGGGGAGGUUUGGCACCUCGAUGUCGGCUCAUCGCAACCUGGGGCUGAAGUCGGUCCCAAGGGUUGGGCUGUUCGCCCAUUAAAGCGGUACGCGAGCUGGGUUCAGAACGUCGUGAGACAGUUCGGUCCAUAUCCGGUGCAUGCGCAGGAAUAUUGAGAGGAUUUCUCCCUAGUACGAGAGGACCGGGAGGAACGCACCUCUGGUGUACCAGUUAUCGUGCCAACGGUAAACGCUGGGUAGCCAUGUGCGGAGAGGAUAACCGCUGAAAGCAUCUAAGUGGGAAGCCCACCUCAAGAUGAGUAUUCCCAUGGGUUAACCCAGUAAGGUCACGGGAAGAACACCCGUUGAUAGGCUCUACGUGGAAGCGCAGUAAUGUGUGAAGCGGAGGAGUACUAAUAGACCGAGGGCUUGACC